UACAGAGGUGGCAAGCGUUGUUCGGAAUUACUGGGCGUAAAGGGCGCGUAGGCGGCCUUGUAAGUCCUGUGUGAAAUCCCCCGGCUCAACUGGGGAACUGCACAGGAGACUGCUUGGCUUGAGUUCGGGAGAGGGAAGCGGAAUUCCGGGUGUAGCGGUGAAAUGCGUAGAUAUCCGGAGGAACACCGGUGGCGAAGGCGGCUUCCUGGACCGACACUGACGCUGAGGAGCGAAAGCGUGGGGAGCGAACAGG
This 253-nucleotide ribosomal RNA is filed under the name uncultured bacterium. Its description in RNAcentral is "partial 16S ribosomal RNA". It matches the Rfam family "Bacterial small subunit ribosomal RNA", at positions 524 to 776 of the family's 1533-position model. The record is from RNAcentral.